Molecule: unclassified non-coding RNA, 297 nt
Filed under: Hevea brasiliensis (rubber tree)
Lineage: Eukaryota; Viridiplantae; Streptophyta; Magnoliopsida; Malpighiales; Euphorbiaceae
Source: RNAcentral
GUUCGUUCCGGCCGCCGUCGCCAUACUUGUGACGGGCCGUGUUUCAGAACAUGAAAACUGGUUCAUGCGCGGUGCGCGUCGCAUCUACGUUCCCCUGCUUUCGAGGUCGAUCCAGGCUCGCCGCACGGUCGCAUUCGUAGCGGCGCUUCUUAUCGUAAUCAGCGGCUUCGCAGCGUCCCGCAUGGGCGGUGAAUUCAUUCCAAGUCUCGACGAGGGAGACGUCGCGCUACAGGCGUUGCGCAUUCCGGGAACGAGCCUGACGCAAUCGCUUGCGAUGCAGCAGAUGCUUGAGAAGCG